UCGAGCGGAAAGGCCCCUUCGGGGGUACUCGAGCGGCGAACGGGUGAGUAACACGUGAGCAACCUGCCCCUGACUCUGGGAUAAGCCCGGGAAACUGGGUCUAAUACCGGAUGUGACCAGCCUCCGCAUGGAGUGCUGGUGGAAAGUUUUUCGGUUGGGGAUGGGCUCGCGGCCUAUCAGCUUGUUGGUGGGGUGAUGGCCUACCAAGGCGACGACGGGUAACCGGCCUGAGAGGGCGACCGGUCACACUGGGACUGAGACACGGCCCAGACUCCUACGGGAGGCAGCAGUGGGGAAUAUUGCGCAAUGGGCGGAAGCCUGACGCAGCGACGCCGCGUGAGGGAUGACGGCCUUCGGGUUGUAAACCUCUUUCAGCAGGGACGAAGCUAACGUGACGGUACCUGCAGAAGAAGCGCCGGCUAACUACGUGCCAGCAGC
This 438-nucleotide ribosomal RNA is filed under the name Actinomadura sp. YN-7-12. RNAcentral's name for it is "bacterial SSU rRNA". It matches the Rfam family "Bacterial small subunit ribosomal RNA", at positions 62 to 515 of the family's 1533-position model. The record is from RNAcentral. Lineage: Bacteria; Bacillati; Actinomycetota; Actinomycetes; Streptosporangiales; Thermomonosporaceae.